UUAGCUCUUGAUUCGAAUUGGAUUCGAAUCCGAUUCUUAAUUGAUCUAAUUUGAUUAGAUCAUGUUCUAAUAUGGGUUAGCCAAGAGUUGGCACCUAAUUGGCUUGGUUUGAGUCUAAUUGGAUUAGAUUUAAUAAAUCAUUCAAUCUAGACCGUUAGAUCUUGAUCUACCAUUGGAUGAAGACAUAAUGGAGAGUUGGUUUAACCCAAUUGGAUUGGGUUAGAUGAUGGCUAUCAUAAUUGACCAUUGGAUCUUAAUCCCACCAUUGGAUGAAGACAUAAUGGGUCAAGUGAAUGGCGCCUUGCAUUGGAG
This 312-nucleotide long non-coding RNA is filed under the name Phoenix dactylifera (date palm). RNAcentral describes it as "long non-coding RNA (PDAC_LNC001844)". Lineage: Eukaryota; Viridiplantae; Streptophyta; Magnoliopsida; Arecales; Arecaceae. The record is from RNAcentral.